CUCUUCCCCACCUCCCCCUCUCUUUGCUCCUCCGCCCAUUGCUCUCCCUCUCUCUCUCUCUCAUAUCCCAGCUCCUCUUCUCUACCUCCCUCUCUCACAUCUUCAAAUUGUUAUGGUUUAAUGGAGGAUAGAGGAACUAGAUCUGUUUUCUCUCUCCUCCGACACCCACUUCCGGUCACCACUGUGACUCACCUCCACCAUCACGGACCACACCGACCUCCGAAGAGUUUGAAGCAGCCUCCUUGACUUCCGGCAACAAUCCACACGUCGACGCUGCUUACUUCCACUGUCAAGCACCACCUCCCUCCAGUCCAUCCUUCCCUCUUCUCUGUGCCGGCGUCUCUUCCUCAGCCUCUGCCGCUACCUAGGAAAUUGGCCGGCACCGGUGUGAUUUCUGCAUAUACACAAAGGCAAGAGCUGUCGACCAGAUUGAACUUGGAGUGGGAAUCAGUCAAGGAAAAGGCAAAAGGAGAAUCAGGAACGAAUGAACUUGGUAGGCAGCAUUUUUGGGGUUUUGCACCACUAGGCUUCUUAGUGAUGCUGUUGUUGAAGUUGGAGAAAUGUCAUUCCAUCUUCACAAGUUUCAUUUGCUCUUACUCUCUUAGUGAUGAGAACUAUUCUUGGACAAGGGGGAAAAUCUUAGUGAUAUUCCACCUUCAAUAACAAUGUAUUCCGGAAAAUAGCCUUAUUUUUUUGUAAUCCAAGAAUUUACCUUGGUAUGAAAUGUAAAGAAUAUCUUGCUAUGAAUGUAAAGUUUUAAUAUUUUCGAUUGA
This is a long non-coding RNA of Rosa chinensis, 773 nucleotides long. RefSeq lists it as uncharacterized. Lineage: Eukaryota; Viridiplantae; Streptophyta; Magnoliopsida; Rosales; Rosaceae. The transcript has 4 exons. The record is from RefSeq and is a predicted model, not a curated record.